UACUGCUUAGUUAAUUUCAUGUUUCAGAUGUUAGUAAAAUGUGCCACUCUGUGGCCCCUUUAAGUCGAUAUUUUAUGACAGUAGAAGAAGAGUUAGACAGGAAGUGGAUGUUUUCUUGCUAUGCUGUUUCAAGAUGGCCGCUCCACUUUCAUCUCCUUCUUUUGGGUGUUUGUUAAAGCAUAGUCUUUUCACAAAAUGAAAGAACCAGUAAACUUCAUAAGAUCUCAUCUAUUGUCUGGAGUUCCUGGGUUCAUGUUUAGCUGUUUGGAUAGCUAGUCAGACUUCUAGCGAGGCCAUUUAUACAAGACAUACAUAUAUAUUUCUAACCACACUCUUUCCAGGAGCAUGCACAUUAUGUCCUGAGGUUAUUUAAUGGAUAUUGAAUCUUCUUUCAGAA
Long non-coding RNA from Oreochromis niloticus (Nile tilapia), 397 nucleotides. RefSeq lists it as uncharacterized. NCBI's taxonomy places the organism in Eukaryota, Metazoa, Chordata, Actinopteri, Cichliformes, Cichlidae. The transcript is spliced from 2 exons. The record is from RefSeq and is a predicted model, not a curated record.